This 468-nucleotide ribosomal RNA is filed under the name uncultured bacterium. Its description in RNAcentral is "partial 16S ribosomal RNA". It matches the Rfam family "Bacterial small subunit ribosomal RNA", at positions 28 to 507 of the family's 1533-position model. The record is from RNAcentral.
GACGAACGCUGGCGGCGUGCUUAACACAUGCAAGUCGAACGGAAAGGCCCUGCUUUUGUGGGGUGCUCGAGUGGCGAACGGGUGAGUAACAAGUGAGUAACCUGCCCUUGACUUUGGGAUAACUUCAGGAAACUGGGGCUAAUACCGGAUAGGAGCUCCUGCUGCAUGGUGGGGGUUGGAAAGUUUCGGCGGUUGGGGAUGGACUCGCGGCUUAUCAGCUUGUUGGUGGGGUAGUGGCUUACCAAGGCUUUGACGGGUAGCCGGCCUGAGAGGGUGACCGGCCACAUUGGGACUGAGAUACGGCCCAGAGUCCUAAGGGAGGCAGCAGUGGGGAAUAUUGCACAAUGGGCGGAAGCCUGAUGAAGCAACGCCGCGUGCGGGAUGACGGCCUUCGGGUUGUAAACCGCUUUCGCCUGUGACGAAGCGUGAGUGACGGUAAUGGGUAAAGAAGCACCGGCUAACUACGUG